CCUACGGGAGGCAGCAGUGGGGAAUUUUGGACAAUGGGCGCAAGCCUGAUCCAGCCAUUCCGCGUGAGUGAAGAAGGCCUUCGGGUUGUAAAGCUCUUUCGCAAGGGAAGAAAACUUAUCCUCUAACAUAGGAUGAGGUUGACGGUACCUUGAUAAGAAGCACCGGCUAACUACGUGCCAGCAGCCGCGGUAAUACGUAGGGUGCGAGCGUUAAUCGGAAUUACUGGGCGUAAAGCGUGCGCAGGCGGUUUUGUAAGUCAGAUGUGAAAUCCCCGAGCUCAACUUGGGAACUGCGUUUGAAACUACAAGACUAGAAUAUGUCAGAGGGGGGUAGAAUUCCACGUGUAGCAGUGAAAUGCGUAGAGAUGUGGAGGAAUACCAAUGGCGAAGGCAGCCCCCUGGGAUAAUAUUGACGCUCAUGCACGAAAGCGUGGGGAGCAAACAGGAUUAGAUACCCUUGUAGUC
RNAcentral lists this ribosomal RNA (465 nucleotides) under Weissella confusa. RNAcentral describes it as "bacterial SSU rRNA". It matches the Rfam family "Bacterial small subunit ribosomal RNA", at positions 338 to 795 of the family's 1533-position model. The record is from RNAcentral. Lineage: Bacteria; Bacillati; Bacillota; Bacilli; Lactobacillales; Lactobacillaceae.